ACAGCCUGNAACCCGGCUGUAUGAAGCUGGAAUCGCUAGUAAUCGCAGAUCAGAAUGCUGCGGUGAAUACGUUCCCGGGUCUUGUACACACCGCCCGUCACACCAUGGGAGCCAGGAAUGCCCGAAGCCAGUGGCCUAACCGCAAGGGAGGAGCUGUCGAAGGCAGGCCCGGUAACUGGGUGAAGUCGUAACAAGGUAUC
Molecule: ribosomal RNA, 200 nt
Filed under: uncultured bacterium
Lineage: Bacteria
Description: partial 16S ribosomal RNA
Rfam family: Bacterial small subunit ribosomal RNA
Source: RNAcentral